GAUGAAGAACGCAGCGAAAUGCGAUAAGUAAUGUGAAUUGCAGAAUUCAGUGAAUCAUCGAAUCUUUGAACGCACCUUGCGCCCUUUGGCCAUUCCGAAGGGCAUGCCUGUUUGAGUAUCAUGAACACCUCAACUCUUUAUGGUUUUCCAUGAUGAGCUUGGACUCUGGGGGUUUUGCUGGCUCACAGUCGGCUCCUCUAAAAUGAAUCAGCUUACCAGUGUUGGUGGGUAUCAUGGGUGUGAUAACUAUCUACGCUUGUGGUUUUUCCACCAGGUAACCUUCAGCAGUGGAGGUUCGCUGGAGCUCAUAGAUGUCUCUCCUCAGUGAGGACAGCCCUUUGAAUGUUUGAUCUCAAAUCAGGUAGGACUACCCGCUGAACUUAAGCAUAUCAAUAAGCGGAGGA
RNAcentral lists this unclassified non-coding RNA (404 nucleotides) under soil metagenome. RNAcentral describes it as "partial contains 5.8S ribosomal RNA, internal transcribed spacer 2, and large subunit ribosomal RNA". The stretch from base 1 to 121 matches the Rfam family "5.8S ribosomal RNA", at positions 35 to 154 of the family's 154-position model. The record is from RNAcentral.